RNAcentral lists this long non-coding RNA (635 nucleotides) under Ananas comosus (pineapple). RNAcentral describes it as "long non-coding RNA (ACOM_LNC033901)". The record is from RNAcentral. Lineage: Eukaryota; Viridiplantae; Streptophyta; Magnoliopsida; Poales; Bromeliaceae.
UUUCAUCAAAACUGGACUUUCGGUUGAAAUAGACUUUGGCUUGAGGUGGAGUUCGGUGAAAACUACUUCUUUUUCGCUAUUUGUUUCGUAGUUAUGGAAGUGGAGUCUUAUUAAUUCUGCUAUUUGUUGGGUAGAAAGUGUAUGAUGUAAAACUAUAAUUUAUGUAUAAAUAAUAAAUAAUUUAUGUAUAAAUAAUAAAUAAUUUAAUAAAUAAAAAUAAUAUAAUUAUAUUUUUUAUAUAAUUAAAAUUUAAUUUAAAACAACUAAAUUAUUUUUUUAUACAUAAAUUAUAAUAAUACAACAAUAAAAUUAUAAAGUAAAAAAAAUUAAUACUUGAUUAAUCAAUUUUUAUCAUAUUUUAAAUAUAUCAACCAAAUAAAAAAAUAAUUAAUACCAUAAUUAAAUAUAAUUAAAUAUAAUUAUUUUUAUCUCGUAUAUUAUUUUAUUAUUUUUUCUUCACCCUCCUUCACCGUAAUUAGCUUCGUCCCACGAUGAGCCGAAGUCAAUUAUGCCGUUUCGGGUUAACUCGAGUUUCGGCCGUAACUAUUUUACGGCGAACCAAACAAUGGAAGUGAUAGUUUAUAGCGUAAACGGAAGUGAUAGUUUGCGCCGACUUUAUGUAACUAAGGCUUGCU